UACGAGGGGUGCAAGCGUUAAUCGGAAUUACUGGGCGUAAAGCGCGCGUAGGCGGCUGCUCAAGCCAGAUGUGAAAUCCCCGGGCUUAACCUGGGAACUGCAUUUGGAACUGGGCAGCUAGAAUACAGCAGAGGAGUGUGGAAUUUCAGGUGUAGCGGUGAAAUGCGUAGAUAUUACACAGAAUACCGGUGGCGAAGGCGGCCUCCUGGAUCUGUACUGACACUGAGGUGCGAAAGCGUGGGUAGCGAACAGG
This 253-nucleotide ribosomal RNA is filed under the name uncultured bacterium. Its description in RNAcentral is "partial 16S ribosomal RNA". It matches the Rfam family "Bacterial small subunit ribosomal RNA", at positions 524 to 776 of the family's 1533-position model. The record is from RNAcentral.